RNAcentral lists this ribosomal RNA (429 nucleotides) under Verrucomicrobiota bacterium. RNAcentral describes it as "Verrucomicrobia bacterium partial 16S ribosomal RNA". It matches the Rfam family "Bacterial small subunit ribosomal RNA", at positions 355 to 776 of the family's 1533-position model. The record is from RNAcentral. Lineage: Bacteria; Pseudomonadati; Verrucomicrobiota.
UAGGGAAUCUUCCGCAAUGGACGAAAGUCUGACGGAGCAACGCCGCGUGAGUGAAGAAGGAUUUCGGUUCGUAAAACUCUGUUGUUAGGGAAGAAAAAAUGUAUAGUAACUAUAUACAAAAGAGACGGUACCUAAACAGAAAGCCACGGCUAACUACGUGCCAGCAGCCGCGGUAAUACGUAGGUGGCAAGCGUUGUCCGGAAUUAUUGGGCGUAAAGCGCGCGCAGGUGGUUUAGAAAGUCUGAUGUGAAAGCCCACGGCUCAACCGUGGAGGGUCAUUGGAAACUAAUAAACUUGAGUGCAGGAGAGAAAAGUGGAAUUCCUAGUGUAGCGGUGAAAUGCGUAGAGAUUAGGAGGAACACCGGUGGCGAAAGCGGCUUUUUGGCCUGCAACUGACACUGAGGCGCGAAAGCGUGGGGAGCAAACAGG